Gallus gallus (chicken) is the source of this 7301-nucleotide long non-coding RNA. RefSeq lists it as uncharacterized. NCBI's taxonomy places the organism in Eukaryota, Metazoa, Chordata, Aves, Galliformes, Phasianidae. The transcript has 4 exons. The record is from RefSeq and is a predicted model, not a curated record.
GGGCAGAGCCGCCCUGCUCUGUCCGUUGCCUCCGUCACUGUCGUGUGGCGGGGAUGUCUUCGUGUAAUUUUUUCUACAUGAAAGGGCAUUGUCGCUAUCUAGGUCAGAACAGUAAACGGCUUGUUAAAACACUUUAAAAUACCCACCGUAGCGAAAAACAGCGCUUUCCUCGUACUUCUUUCAGUCUUCACGUGUAACUGCAGAAGGCGCUGUAGUUUGAAGCAGGUUUGCUUGUGUCGCUGACAAAGAAGGAGAAUGUUAGUUAAUCUCGGCACGACGAGCUAGAGGCACGGCAAAGGUUGCUGACGAAAGAAGGACCCCAAGGAACUCCAUUGUCCAAAGGGAAAGAUGAACACAGGAUUCUGCAGAAAAACCCUCAGCGCUCAGUACCUAAUUUUUCCUUUUAAAUAAAACUAGGGUGCUCAUGUAGCAACAAAGACAGAGAAAACACUCUGAAUUUUUCUGUUUAUUGACACGUAAUUAUUUGCCUCCACAAGCGCUCCUUCGCAAACCUUAAGGUCCGAGGUGGAGCGCGGGGCCGCUGUGUUUCUAUAGCACCUGUUCUCCUUGAACAGCCUUAUCAAAUCAUACAUGUGGACAACUGGUACUUGACAUUUUCAAAUGUAGUAUUUAACAUACUCGUAUCACUUUCCCAGUUCUCUCCCUUGUUAAGGAACAAUUAUUUGCACUUGGAAUUCUGAACAUGCUGUCAUUACCAGGGCAUGCAACUUAAGUGCCCAAGAAUUUCCAAGAAUAGAAUAGAAUUUCCAAGUGCUGGUCAAAUAUUUGUAUGCGUGGUGAUGCGCCAAAAUGGAUCAGCUAGAGAAGCAAUUGCAAGGGUUAAUACACAAGAAUCCAGGCAAAUUAUAAGUUUAAAACUUCGCACUUCGGAUGGUUGCGAUUUCAUUGUCUGACAAUUCACAUAGCGCUCCUAUAACACACAUAGGCUACUAUGAAACGUUCCAGACUUGGGAUGACCAAGUAAUCUAAGUCAUGACCUAAGAUCUCUUAUAUGGUGUCAUUUUAGAAACUGCAUGGUAUGUCAGCUCUGAGAGCAUAUCCCUGUACUGUGCGCAGGCUCUCGAGGUCAGAAGUACUCUUGUUGUGAUCUCAUUGUAGGAAUAGAACUUUAAAACUAGUAAAAAAAAAAAAAAAAAAAAAAGUCUGACAUUAAUUUACAAUCCAGAAAACAUUUUCUGAAUAUACAUUGCAUGGUAUUACCAAUGAAUGUUUUUAAUAAAGGAAUUCAUAUGCUGAAAUGUUAUGAGAGGCUGAGGGGAUCAGCUUCUGAUUCCAAGUGCCUAACACAGGUAGUUGAUUUGAGAGUUUAGGCUUCUCGUGCAGCCAAUAGACUACACAAAAGGCAAUUCCGAUCAUCUAGGAUCCUGUAUCUCCAGACACUUAAAUUAAGUUAGGCAUUAGAAGUUAGACUGUAUUUAUAAUCUAUGCUGAUACCCAUCUGUCAAGUUGGAAUAGAUCAAAACCCCUGGUUAUUGCCACCAAAAUAUAGUCUCAGUUCCUUGAUAUAUAUAUAUAUAUUUUCUGAUAGGAUUGUGCGUAUGCAGUCUAAGAACUCUAGACUGACUUUUUCCUUCAUUACCUUAUGCAAACCAGCAGGGUUCAGUCUAGGAGCUGUAACAUCAUAGCAGUUACAAGCUGCGAUGUCACUAACAAAUUCAGCCUCUUCUGCUAUUUAUACUAAUAGUUGGGGUCAUGUGAAAUUACUGACCUGCAGGCGGGAUCACAACCAGAACGAACUUGAGAAUCUGUAUGCUCAGAAACAUUAGUUUCUUCCAAGACACUUUUAAAAUGUCUGCCUGACCAUGAAAAAAAAAAUGACAAGGAUUCCCACAUUUCCCUCCUUAGCACAAACAGAUUUGAGAAAAUCAUUAUUUCAGACCCUUCCAGGACGUUCUGUUCUAAAUCACAGAUUUUACAUUUGUUUAAUCAUCUGGAAAACCUGAGGUACAAGGAGGAAAGAGUGGGCUUGCCUUGGUUUUGCUCCUUUCACUUGUAUAUAUGAGGCCAGAGAGGUUUAUUCCUGAAGAAAACUAAGGGAAAGGUCAUGUUCACAUGGGUUUUGUCAUUCUGGAAGUGUGUAGCACCUCCUCUGAAUGAGAAAUUUUGCUAAUUCCCAGCAGCACUGUAGGAAUUUCCAUAAUGGAUUUCCAUGAGCAAAGAUGUCUUUGGAAAUCCUGUAGCUAUAUUAGCAGCACUGACAGACAGGUUUGACGACAUGCCUGAGUCUUUCAGCAAGGGGCAUAUGAUUUGUCAGUCCUGAUAUUUCUGUAAGUAAACAAGCUGAAAUGCAUAUAUAUUUAAAUCUAAUAAUGGGUUCUCGGUUGUUUGUCAGGACUUACAGACUGAUGCUCUCUACAUGCACCAGGCAAUCCUCCCACUAACUUUUGAGCCCACUGACCAAUUUCCAUUAAAUUUCAUGAGGGUUAGCAGCAGAAGCUAGUGCAAUAUGGAGGGUUUUGUGGACUUAGUGGCUAAUAAGAGAAUAAGAGACCUUACAAACUCUCUGUCCUUGAGAAAGCUAAUGAGCUUUCUCUUUUCUAGCCAUCCGAGAAUUCAAGUGGAGCAGGCUGAGAGGGAAAUAGGGAUCUUCCCUCGCUUUCACAUGCAAAUCACCUGUAGAGAACAGGACAGGUUAAGGCCCCACUAAUCUGCACAGGGUUGCUCGGGGAUGGACUGCAACAGGGAUGUGGACUUCCAAUGCAUUCAGCCACGCUAUGGUUUCAACAAUUAGCUCAGGGAAGAAAAUGUUGCAAGACCAAUUACCUGGUUUCCAGCAGAGGCAUGAAGUGAUUUUCAUUGACUAAUCCAGAAAACACGUAUUACCGGGUGCAUUGGUCCUAGCACAGGUGGUUCACUUGGCAACAAAUGCAUAAGGAAUAACUUCUUGAAACAGUGAAAUGAAAACGUGAAUCAUCCGUGGAUAUUUCUGCCCUGGUAAUAGCUUCAAGAUUUGAAGAAGAGUAGCAGUUAUCUGUAGUCUUUCCCUCACUGUUACGCAUGAAGUGCUUCAGAAGACACACACAGGAAAGACUGAAAUGCUUUCAGGACUUCUCAGCUGUAUAAUGAGGAUCAUCUUGUUUGGGAUAUGACCACGGAGUAACAACAGGGUCAUGCUUUCUCUGUCAGAUUCCUGUCUCAAAGGAGAUCCAGAUGAAUUUCUGUAGCAAAUGCAUGCUCUUCAUACACAUUCCCCUCAACUCAUCUGAGUUUCAUUUCUGUUGUGAGCGUUACAUCACCGUCUCUUGGCAACUAUCCCUGGAGUGCUUGGGAAGGAUAUUCAGUCAUUAAUGGGGAUGAACCCUGUCCCAUGGAAAGUGGCAAAGAGGAAGAUCACUGUUCUGGGUGAGAGCAGCUACUGCAUGUGGAAUCACUUGUCUGCAGAGAAAUGUAUUCUGACACGUUCCCAUUUGCCUUUGCACAACUGCACAGUGGACUUGGUAAUGCAUCUGAGCAGCCUUCUGAUCAGUCUAAAAAGUAGGGUAUCCCUCUCUUCCCAUUUAGAAAUAAAGAACUGCAGAGAUGAAUUCCACCAUCCAAGAAGCAGGUUGGAUAAGAUGGAAGUUGUGUCAGAUGGCUUCAAGGGUGCCUAAGACCAUCAGCAUUAAGUACUACCUGACUGCUGAAAUUCUUGAUAAUUCUCUCAUCUGUAGUCUCUAUUUAGCAACUGGUAGAAGGAUGGGAAAGUCGUGAUUUCCUAAAAGGGCUGUACCAUCUGUCAGUGCUACUCAUCUUUUUUUCAAACUUACUUUGAGUUAUUUUUUCUCUCCUUCUGACAUUCACCAUUCCCAGGCUGGGCUAUAGCCUGGUGAGUGUGCUGUUCAGUACCAAUUAUGAGAUACACAGAACUGUUUAUUUUAAAAUCUGAGGUGUCUCAGAAAAUGAAAUACCACUGGCACAAAUACUGACAACCAGCUUUCCAUGAGGGGAUGUGAAGCAAGGCAGAUAACCAUUACGGCCCUUUCAGGUAUUUCUGCAGGGAGUGCAGAUAGUUUUCAUCUUCAGAAUGACCCCACUGAUCCCAGAGAGCUUCUGUGGAAAAGCAGCAAUAUCUUGAGUUCAUCUGUGUCAAAAGCUGGUGAUAAACCUCAGACUUUUACCAGAGAUAAGAGGAUCAUAUUGCACAGUGGCCUUAAAGCAUGCUAAGAUUUGGAUUCUUGUGAAAGGAGGGCAUUACUAACUCUGGAUUUUUCAUAUUCUUUCUUACUCCAAAAAUGAAGUGAUUGUACAAUGCAGUGAGUAUGAUUCUUUUGUAUUUAAAUGUGAUUCUUUAAUUGAGUAACAUCUGGAUUCAGUCUGUGGGAAGAAAUUAGGCUUUUUUUUUUUUUUUUCUUUUAACCCUAUGCCUGUUUCAUUAAUCUUUCUUAUGCAUAUAGCUUUUUUCCAUUUUUCGUUUCGUUUUCCCUUUGCUGCCAAUAGGGCUUUGUUUUACAGUUUUCAUUUUUGGACUUUCCCCCCGCAGUCUCACACUUCAACAAAGCACUAAUGUUCAAAGUGUGAAAAUGACAGCAAAGGCACAUCCUCGUACAGUCGACAUGCUAAACCCACCUGAACAGAGGAGAGCAGGGUACAGAAUCAAGACUCUACAUUAAAAUAUGCAUCAAACUCCUGACGAAAAAGAAAUAAAGAAGUUAAUACGGCAAACAGCAAGAAACUAAACAAACACAGCCCAUAAAGGAAGCAAAUGCACCGAGUAUGAUGAGAAAGGAAAAGUCAGAUUAGGGCCAUCUCCACUCAUGGGAACACAUGAAGAGAGUCGGCAACUGCAAGCUGCACACUUUCCUCCAGAAGAAAAGGCUUGAUUUUCAGAAGUGCUUUUGAGGACAGAAUUUUCUGCUUCCCACUGGGAAGAAGAUCAUUUUUUUAAAGCUUAGCCUUACCAGAAAGUCAGGAUGAAUACUGGAAUGUGGUUUAACAUUGUACCCUCUGAGGAAAUGUUUAUCCCCACUAACUGGGGGUAAUUAGAAAGAAAGAUGGCGUUGCCUGUGGAACUUACUUAAAAACGUAUCUUUGGCAUUGUAUGGUGUAUUGGCAGCAAUAAAGCAGAAGGGAAUCAGUGUUGGUGGUUCAAGGGGUGGGAAAGCUGAAACAGGAAACAUCAGGAACAGCCAACACAGUGUGUAGUCAGUCAAGCCCAGUGCACAUAUAUCUGGAGCAACACAUACAUGUAUACACACAUGUGCACGCGUGUACACACCUCAGCCAUGCAGACACUGAGGCAAGAGGCAGAAAGAUCAGAGGAGGAAACAGUUUAAGUGCUGCAGCUCCAUGUACAUAUAUACAGACCUCUGCCCCCAGCCCACUCAUGCAGAGGCCUUUUUGUCCAUUUUCUUCUCUUGAAAAAAUCUGGUGAUGCAUCCUGGCAUAUGGGAAAAAGCUCAUGGUUUGCUAAAGCUUUUAGGGGGUUGGUCUGCUUCCUUAAUCUACUGUUAAAUGAGUUUGGAGGCCAGAAUAAGAAAUGCUUUUUUGUAUUUUGCCAAUUGAAAUCAAAAUAAAUAUAUAACUAAAAGGAGCUCGCUCACAAAUUUACAUUACCUAUAUGUUGCUAUGUCAUACUAGCAAAUACAGCUCAGCACCUAUUACUAUGACUUUCAGAAAGAAUCAUGCAAACUCAGAAUGGCUGAUGUGGGCAGGGACCUCUGGGUCCAUCUGCUCCAAUUCCUGCACAAGCAGGGCCAUACACAGCAGGGCACCCAGGCCCACAUCCAGGCAGCUUUUGAAGAUCUUCAAGGAGGAGACUCCAUAGCCUCUGGGCAGCCCAUGCAAGCAGUCCAGCACCUGUGCACUGAAAAAAUAUUUGCUGACGCUCAGGGGAAACCCCCUGUAUGCCAGUUUGUGUCCAUUGCCUCUUGUCCUGGCAUUGGGCACCACUGGAAAGAGCCUGGCCCCAUCCUUUUGGCACCCUCCCUUCAGCUAUACAUAGGUGUGAAUGAGACCCCUUGAACUGCUUCUUCUCCGGGCUGAACAGGCCCAGAUCUCUCAGCCUUUCCUCAUAGGAGAGAUGCUCCAGCCUCUUCAUCAUCUUCGUGGCCCUACGUUGAACUCUUUCCAGUAUGUCUGUAUCUUUUUUUAUACUGGAGGGCCCAGAAACGGACCCAGCACUCCAGGUGUGACCUGACCAGCACUAAGGCAGCAAUAACAUAUUCUGAGCUCGAGAAAGUCUCUCAUAUUUCUCUCCUAUACAGGGAACAAACACAAUUUUAAAGGAUUUGUCAUUUUAAAAAUAAUGAAUAAUGAGAUACAUACCUUGUUCCUUUUUCCAGAAAGAAGAUAUUUAAAACAGGGCACUGACAAAGCCUAUAAUUUCACAUCACUUUCUUCUAUGAUUUUCACAGCCAGAGUAGCAAUGGGAAAGUGACGCAGGUCACCAGUGUAGCAAAAAGCUGAACGUCAAGUGGUGAGAAAAAAUAAAUAAAUCAGUGGCUGUACUAUUACCAAGAGAAUUGAGGCUUGCUCUUCCUGAAGAAAAGCUGUCUGCAGCCAGCUCUCACAGCAACAGAACCAGGGCAACUGCCAAUGUAGGCGAAGCAAAGCAAAAUGAAGUUCAAGACCUAUUGCCAAGGGGUGGAAAGGUUUAAGAACAACAAAUGCCUCAUCUUGACAAUGUAAAAUCUGCAAAGACUAGAACAGAAAGGGCCAAUUACUACCUUAUGUUCCAGUUCUAAUCCGAAAUUAUAGGAUAGAUUUCUAAUGAGGGGGAACACUACUGGAGGCAGCUGUGGAGGAUGGAGGGGUACAUUGCUGUAAUUACAGACCCUUGUGCAUUGGUGACAGAAGUUCCAAAACUUCAAGAGGCAACACCUUUGUAAUAUUUGUUUUUGCAGAAUCAAAUAACACCCUCAAUUUGCAGUGGAAUGGAAACACUGAAGUAUGUGAGUUUCAAAGCAGAUUGUAGUACUACCUGGCACGUGGUAGGAGCUGGACUAAGAAGGCAGAGUCAGAGACAGUGGUUUACAACAUGUGGUCUGCAGACUCCUAGAGAUCCAGAGGACUUCCAAGGGCUUCAGAAGAGUUAACCAUGGAACAAACAAUUAUCUUGUCCUUACUCAAGGGUAUGCAUCUCUCCUGCAAAGCUUAUAGGGAUCUAUAAGGGGAGAAGGCUUGAAAAAACACACUACUACUGGGGCCCCAAGUACAGGAAGGAUGUGGAGCUCUUGGAGCAGGUCCAGAGGAGGGCCACUAAGAUGACCAGAAGGCUGGAGCACCUCUCCUUUGGGGAAAAGUUGAGGAAACUGCGCUUGUUUAGCUUGGAGAAGAGAAGGCUCCGGGGAGACCUCAUUGCG